UGGGGAAUAUUGCACAAUGGACGGAAGUCUGAUGCAGCAACGCCGCGUGCGGGAUGACGGCCUUCGGGUUGUAAACCGCUUUUUCUCAUGACGAAGUUUUUUGACGGUAGUGGGGGAAGAAGCACCGGCUAACUACGUGCCAGCAGCCGCGGUGAUACGUAGGGUGCGAGCGUUGUCCGGAAUUAUUGGGCGUAAAGAGCUUGUAGGCGGUUUGUCGCGUCGAUAGUGCAAACUCAGUGCUUAACGCUGAGCCUGCUGUUGAUACGGGCAGACUAGAGGAAGGUAGGGGAGAAUGGAAUUCCCGGUGGAGCGGUGGAAUGCGCAGAUAUCGGGAGGAACACCGGUGGCGAAGGCGGUUCUCUGGGCCUUUCCUGACGCUGAGAAGCGAAAGCGUGGGGAGCGAACAG
RNAcentral lists this ribosomal RNA (407 nucleotides) under Fusobacteriota bacterium. RNAcentral's name for it is "Fusobacteria bacterium partial 16S ribosomal RNA". It matches the Rfam family "Bacterial small subunit ribosomal RNA", at positions 355 to 775 of the family's 1533-position model. Lineage: Bacteria; Fusobacteriati; Fusobacteriota. The record is from RNAcentral.